This 497-nucleotide ribosomal RNA is filed under the name uncultured bacterium. RNAcentral describes it as "partial 16S ribosomal RNA". It matches the Rfam family "Bacterial small subunit ribosomal RNA", at positions 28 to 507 of the family's 1533-position model. The record is from RNAcentral.
GAUGAACGCUGGCGGCGUGCCUAAUACAUGCCAGUCGAGCGAAUGGACGAGAAGCUUGCUUCUCUGAUGUUAGCGGCGGACGGGUGAGUAACACGUGGAUAACCUACCUAUAAGACUGGGAUAACUUCGGGAAACCGUAGCUAAUACCGGAUAAUAUUUUGAACCGCAUGGUUCAAAAGUGAAAGACGGUCUUGCUGUCACUUAUAGAUGGAUCCGCGCUGCAUUAGCUAGUUGGUAAGGUAACGGCUUACCAAGGCAACGAUGCAUAGCCGACCUGAGAGGGUGAUCGGCCACACUGGAACUGAGACACGGUCCAGACUCCUACGGGAGGCAGCAGUAGGGAAUCUUCCGCAAUGGGCGAAAGCCUGACGGAGCAACGCCGCGUGAGUGAUGAAGGUCUUCGGAUCGUAAAACUCUGUUAUUAGGGAAGAACAUAUGUGUAAGUAACUGUGCACAUCUUGACGGUACCUAAUCAGAAAGCCACGGCUAACUACGUG